Molecule: non-coding RNA, 204 nt
Organism: Caenorhabditis elegans
Lineage: Eukaryota; Metazoa; Nematoda; Chromadorea; Rhabditida; Rhabditidae
Source: Ensembl
CAGAUAAGAAAAAUGAGAGGAAAAUUGAAUGGUUUGGGAGGGUUGAGUUGACCCUCAUCAUUCCAAACUUUGGUGGAUUACAUUACUACUUGACCGAUAAUGAACUGCCAACUGCACGCAAUGAAAGGUUAGGUGUAGUGUUGGUCACCGCAAAAGUUUCUCACGAUUCCAUUAAGAGUCGACGCAAAAGUUGUUACGCCUCGA